CACGCCCUAAACGAUGUCAACUAGUUGUUGGGGAUUCAUUUCUUCAGUAACGUAGCUAACGCGUGAAGUUGACCGCCUGGGGAGUNCGCGAAAAACCUUACCUACCCUUGACAUGCCACUAACGAAGCAGAGAUGCAUUAGGUGCUCGAAAGAGAAAGUGGACACAGGUGC
RNAcentral lists this ribosomal RNA (171 nucleotides) under uncultured bacterium. RNAcentral describes it as "partial 16S ribosomal RNA". The record is from RNAcentral.